RNAcentral lists this transfer RNA (76 nucleotides) under Pseudobdellovibrionaceae bacterium. RNAcentral's name for it is "Bdellovibrionaceae bacterium (activated sludge metagenome) tRNA-Arg". It matches the Rfam family "tRNA". Rfam says of the family: Transfer RNA (tRNA) molecules are approximately 80 nucleotides in length. The record is from RNAcentral. Lineage: Bacteria; Pseudomonadati; Bdellovibrionota; Bdellovibrionia; Bdellovibrionales; Pseudobdellovibrionaceae.
GGGGCCGUAGUUCAAUGGAUAGAAUACCCGGCUUCGAACCGGUUGGUUGCAGGUUCGAGUCCUGCCGGCCCCACCA